AAUCAACGCUGGCGGCGUGCCUCAGACAUGCAAGUCGAACGAUUAAAGCUCUCUUCGGAGAGUGUAUAGAGUGGCGCACGGGUGAGUAACACGUAAGUAAUCUACCUUUGAGUGGGGAAUAACCCGGGGAACCCGAGCUAAUACCGCAUAAUGCAGCGGCACCGCAAGGUGACAGUUGUUAAAGGAGCAAUCCGCUUAAAGAGGAGCUUGCGGCAGAUUAGCUAGNGGUAAGGUAAUGGCUUACCAAGGCUUCGAUCUGUAUCCGGCCUGAGAGGGCGGUCGGACACACUGACACUGAAUAACGGGUCAGACUCCUACGGGAGGCAGCAGUCGGGAAUUUGGGCAAUGGGCGAAAGCCUGACCCAGCAACGCCGCGUGAAGGAUGAAGUAUUUCGGUAUGUAAACUUCGAAAGAAUGGGAAGAUCAAUGGCGGUACCAUUUAUAAGGUCCGGCUAACUACGUGCCAGCAGCCGCCGUAAG
Molecule: ribosomal RNA, 480 nt
Filed under: uncultured bacterium
Lineage: Bacteria
Description: bacterial SSU rRNA
Rfam family: Bacterial small subunit ribosomal RNA
Source: RNAcentral